UACCAGCUCUCCGAGUGGUAGGGAUGUUUAUUGGGCUUAAAGCGUCCGUAGCCGGCUUAGCAAGUCUCCUGUUAAAUUCAGCGACCUAAUCGUUGAGCCGCGGGAGAUACUACUAGGCUAGGAGGCGGGAGAGGUCAACGGUACUUCCGGGGUAGGGGUGAAAUCCUAUAAUCCCGGGAGGACCACCAGUGGCGAAGGCUGUUGACUAGAACGCGCUCGACGGUGAGGGACGAAAGCUGGGGGAGCGAACCGGAUUAGAUACCCGGGUAGUCCCAGCUGUAAACGAUGCGAGCUAGGUGUUGGGGUGGCUACGUGCCACUUCAGUGCCGCAGGGAAGCCAUUAAGCUCGCCGCCUGGGGAGUACGGCCGCAAGGCUGAAACUUAAAGGAAUUGGCGGGGGAGCACCACAAGGCGUGAAGCUUGCGGUUC
This 429-nucleotide ribosomal RNA is filed under the name uncultured archaeon. RNAcentral's name for it is "bacterial SSU rRNA". It matches the Rfam family "Archaeal small subunit ribosomal RNA", at positions 474 to 903 of the family's 1478-position model. The record is from RNAcentral.